RNAcentral lists this ribosomal RNA (253 nucleotides) under uncultured bacterium. RNAcentral's name for it is "partial 16S ribosomal RNA". It matches the Rfam family "Bacterial small subunit ribosomal RNA", at positions 524 to 776 of the family's 1533-position model. The record is from RNAcentral.
UACGGAGGGCUCAAGCGUUGUUCGGAUUCAUUGGGCGUAAAGGGUGCGUAGGCGGCGCGGCAAGUCGGGCGUGAAAUCUCGGAGCUUAACUCCGAAACUGCAUUCGAUACUGCCGUGCUUGAGGACUGGAGAGGGGACUGGAAUUUACGGUGUAGCGGUGAAAUGCGUAGAUAUCGUAAGGAAGACCAGUGGCGAAGGCGGGUCUCUGGACAGUUCCUGACGCUGAGGCACGAAGGUCAGGGGAGCAAACGGG